RNAcentral lists this ribosomal RNA (253 nucleotides) under uncultured bacterium. RNAcentral's name for it is "partial 16S ribosomal RNA". It matches the Rfam family "Bacterial small subunit ribosomal RNA", at positions 524 to 776 of the family's 1533-position model. The record is from RNAcentral.
GACGAACCGUGCGAACGUUGUUCGGAAUCACUGGGUUUAAAGGGCGCGUAGGCGGGCUGUCAAGUCGGUGGUGAAAUCGUUCCGCUCAACGGGACAAUGGCCUUCGAUACUGGCGGCCUGGAGGGAGGUAGGGGCAUGCGGAACUUCCGGUGGAGCGGUGAAAUGCGUAGAUAUUCGGAAGAACACCAGUGGCGAAGGCAGCGAACUGGCGCUCGAUUGACGCUCAGGCACGAAAGCAUGGGGAUCAAACAGG